Molecule: unclassified non-coding RNA, 306 nt
Filed under: plant metagenome
Description: partial contains 5.8S ribosomal RNA, internal transcribed spacer 2, and large subunit ribosomal RNA
Rfam family: 5.8S ribosomal RNA (bases 1-105)
Source: RNAcentral
GAAAUGCGAUAAGUAAUGUGAAUUGCAGAAUUCAGUGAAUCAUCGAAUCUUUGAACGCACAUUGCGCCCGCCAGUAUUCUGGCGGGCAUGCCUGUCCGAGCGUCAUUUCAACCAUCAAGCCCCCGGGCUUGUGUUGGGGACCUGCGGCUGCCCGCAGGCCCUGAAAACCAGUGGCGGGCUCGCUGUCACACCGAGCGUAGCAGCAAUCACCUCGCUCAGGGCGUGCUGCGGGUUCCGGCCGUUAAACAGCCUUACAAAACCCAAGGUUGACCUCGGAUCAGGUAGGAAGACCCGCUGAACUUAAGC